GGUCCCGUAGCUCAGUUAGGAUAGAGCAGGACAGUCACACGUUCAGGUCACAGGUUCGAAUCCUGUAGGGACCACCA
This 77-nucleotide transfer RNA is filed under the name Gammaproteobacteria bacterium. RNAcentral describes it as "tRNA-OTHER". It matches the Rfam family "tRNA". From Rfam's summary of the family: Transfer RNA (tRNA) molecules are approximately 80 nucleotides in length. The record is from RNAcentral. Lineage: Bacteria; Pseudomonadati; Pseudomonadota; Gammaproteobacteria.